Molecule: ribosomal RNA, 939 nt
Filed under: Triticum aestivum (bread wheat)
Lineage: Eukaryota; Viridiplantae; Streptophyta; Magnoliopsida; Poales; Poaceae
Description: partial small subunit ribosomal RNA
Source: RNAcentral
AUGCCAAAGCGACCCUCGGACGGGCGCGUCGGCCAGAAGCGCCGCCGCCGGCGCCUAUACCUCGUCACGAACGACGGGGAGGCGAUAUACGGCAUCCGCAAGUUCGAUCUACCGUCGGACCCUCCGUCCUCCGCCGAUGACGACGGCCACGCGACGGCGCAGCGCCUUCCGAGGGCCGUCGUCCGCCUUGAGGCUCCGGCGAGCAGGUUCUUCGCGGCUAAAGGCAACAAGAUCAUGGUCAUGGAUACCAGCCAGUGCGAGCGCAUCGUCCCCGUCUUCGGCGUCCGCACGCGGUGCAUCGCCCUCGUCCCUCGCAACGGCUCGCGACCCACCUGGCCCAUGUAUCUGCCCGUCGGCGGGAAGCUCGCCGCCCUUGACGACGACUCCUCGGAGCUGCUCCGUCCGUGUCUGUGGGGAUGGGGGUCCCAGGAUAGGCUCCCGAACCCUCCGUUCGAUCUGGAGGACAUGACCGCCCACUGCGCGCACCCGGACGGCCGGACCGUCUUCGUCAGCUCCAAGGCCGCCACUUUCUCCCUCGACACAGCGUCUAGGGGUGCUGCGUGGAGGCGCCAUGGCGAGUGGAAGCUGCCCUUCGCUGGCCGUGCGCACUUUGACCCCAGGCUCGACGCCUGGGUCGGGCUCUCCGGCGACUCCCCGGACACGCUCGGCUACCUCUGCUCCUGCGACGUCGUGCCCACCGACCCCAGCAGCAACAUGGAGUCCCCGCCGGCGUGGAAGCUUAGCAAGGAGAAGCUCUUCUGCGAGGACCCAGCCGAGCAACACGUCGGAGCCAGCCUCGUCUACGUGGGAGUCGCACGCUUCUGCCUUGUGCAGUACUUCUCCGUUGUUGAAGACGAUGCCGCCGGCAGCUCUGGUAAUGACGAGCCGGAGAUGGAGGAGGCCAUGCCACCGUCGUCUCCUCGCUAUAGGCUUCGAUGA